AUUGAACGCUGGCGGCAGGCCUAACACAUGCAAGUCGAACGAGUGGCGGACGGGUGAGUAAUGUCUGGGAAACUGCCUGUUGGAGGGGGAUAACUACUGGAAACGGUAGCUAAUACCGCAUACCAUCGGAUUUGGCCAGAUGGGAUUAGCUAGUAGGUGGGGUAAAGGCUCACCUAGGCGACGAUCCCUAGCUGGUCUGAGCGGAUGACCGGCCAAACGGGAACUGAGACACGGCCCAGACCCUUACGGGAGGAGGCAGUGGGGAAUAUUGCACAAUGGGGGCAAGCCGGAUGAAGCCAGGCCGCGUGUAGGAAGAAGGCCUUCGGGUUGUAAAGUACUUUCAGCGGGGAGGCGUUACCCGCAGAAGAAGCACCGGCUAACUCCGUGCCAGCAGCCGCGGUAAUUC
RNAcentral lists this ribosomal RNA (406 nucleotides) under uncultured bacterium. Its description in RNAcentral is "partial 16S ribosomal RNA". It matches the Rfam family "Bacterial small subunit ribosomal RNA", at positions 29 to 526 of the family's 1533-position model. The record is from RNAcentral.